CCUACGGGAGGCAGCAGUGGGGAAUCUUGCACAAUGGGGGAAACCCUGAUGCAGCGACGCCUCGUGAACGAUGAAGCCCUUCGGGGUGUAAAGUUCUUUCGACGGGAACGAUAAUGACGGUACCCGGAGAAGAAGCUGCGGCUAACUACGUGCCAGCAGCCGCGGUAAUACGUAGGCAGCGAGCGUUGUUCGGAAUUACUGGGCGUAAAGGGUGUGUAGGUGGUGGCGUAAGUUCUGUGUGAAAUCUCCCGGGCUUAACCGGGGAGGGUGCGCAGAAGACUGCGUCGCUAGAGUAUGGGAGAGGUAAGCGGAAUUUCUGGUGUAGCGGUGAAAUGCGUAGAUAUCAGAAGGAACACCUGUGGUGUAGACGGCUUACUGGACCAUUACUGACACUGAGACACGAAAGCGUGGGUAGCAAACAGGAUUAGAUACCCUGGUAGUCCACGCCCUAAACGAUGCAUACUUGGUGUGAGCCAUUCAUUUGGUUCGUGCCGGGACGCGUACGUACGUUAAGUAUGCGCCGUGGGUAGGUACGGUCGCGAGCGUAGAACGUAACGUAAGUAGAGUGNGAGNGAGACGACGACGACGACGACGGACGAGGAG
RNAcentral lists this ribosomal RNA (603 nucleotides) under uncultured bacterium. RNAcentral's name for it is "bacterial SSU rRNA". The stretch from base 1 to 522 matches the Rfam family "Bacterial small subunit ribosomal RNA", at positions 338 to 873 of the family's 1533-position model. The record is from RNAcentral.